RNAcentral lists this ribosomal RNA (451 nucleotides) under uncultured bacterium. RNAcentral's name for it is "SSU rRNA". It matches the Rfam family "Bacterial small subunit ribosomal RNA", at positions 26 to 518 of the family's 1533-position model. The record is from RNAcentral.
AGAGCGAACGCUGGCGGCAUGCUUAACACAUGCAAGUCGCACGGGCAGGGGAAACCCUGUCAGUGGCGGACGGGUGAGUAACGCGUAGGUAUCUAUCCUUGGGUGGGGGAUAACGGUUGGAAACGACUGCUAAUACCGCAUGAUAACUGAGGUUUAAAGGCGCAAGUCGCCUGGGGAGGAGCCUGCGUACGAUUAGCUUGUUGGUGGGGUAAAGCCUACCAAGGCGACGAUCGUUAGCUGGUCUGAGAGGAUGAUCAGCCACAUUGGGACUGAGACACGGCCCAAACUCCUACGGGAGGCAGCAGUGGGGAAUAUUGGACAAUGGGCGAAAGCCUGAUCCAGCAAUGCCGCGUGUGUGAAGAAGGUCUUCGGAUUGUAAAGCACUUUCGACAGGGACGAUGAUGACGGUACCUGUAGAAGAACGCCCGGCUAACUUCGCGCCAGCAGCCGC